UCUACGGGGUGCAGCAGUGGGGAAUAUUGCGCAAUGGGCGAAAGCCUGACGCAGCGACGCCGCGUGAGGGAUGAAGGCUUUCGGGUUGUAAACUUCUUUUAAGGGGGAAGAGCAGAAGACGGUACCCCUUGAAUAAGCCACGGCUAACUACGUGCCAGCAGCCGCGGUAAUACGUAGGUGGCAAGCGUUGUCCGGAUUUACUGGGUGUAAAGGGCGUGUAGCCGGAGAGACAAGUCAGAUGUGAAAUCCACGGGCUCAACCCGUGAACUGCAUUUGAAACUGUUUCCCUUGAGUGUCGGAGAGGUAAGCGGAAUUCCUUGUGUAGCGGUGAAAUGCGUAGAUAUAAGGAAGAACACCAGUGGCGAAGGCGGAUUACUGGACGAUAACUGACGGUGAGGCGCGAAAGCGUGGGGAGCAAACAGGAUUAGAUACCCUAGUAGUC
This 442-nucleotide ribosomal RNA is filed under the name uncultured bacterium. Its description in RNAcentral is "partial 16S ribosomal RNA". It matches the Rfam family "Bacterial small subunit ribosomal RNA", at positions 338 to 795 of the family's 1533-position model. The record is from RNAcentral.